GCUGAAACUACCGUGUCUCCGGUCGGUUAGCCGGAACACUAAUUUCACCAAUCGAAGCUCCAAUUCGUUCCCAUGGAGUUACCGACGGUUACAUAUUUCAGCUUCAGCAUCAGCAUCAGCUUCAGCUCCAUUAGUAGAAGGCCCGAAACUUGGACCCGGUUCGCUAGGGCAUAUCACCCGUUCCGACUUCCCUAUACUUCACCAGGAGAUAAAUGGCUUGAAGCUUGUAUAUUUGGACAAUGCUGCAACUUCCCAGAAGCCAAGAGCUGUGAUCGAAGCUUUGCAGAAUUAUUAUGAAGCUUACAAUUCCAAUGUCCACCGGGGCAUUCAUUAUUUGAGUGCAAAGGCGACAGAUGAGUAUGAGUCAGCAAGACAAAAGGUGGCAAAUUUCAUUCACGCGGCCGAAGCUAAAGAGAUCAUUUUUACAAGAAAUGCUACUGAGGCUAUCAACUUAGUGGCUUAUUCUUGGGGACUCUCAA
RNAcentral lists this unclassified non-coding RNA (479 nucleotides) under Hevea brasiliensis (rubber tree). The record is from RNAcentral. Lineage: Eukaryota; Viridiplantae; Streptophyta; Magnoliopsida; Malpighiales; Euphorbiaceae.